Gambusia affinis (western mosquitofish) is the source of this 134-nucleotide small nucleolar RNA. Lineage: Eukaryota; Metazoa; Chordata; Actinopteri; Cyprinodontiformes; Poeciliidae. The record is from Ensembl.
UUCCUUCCAAAAGCACUUGCUCUGUCUGCUCAGUGGCUGGGUGAGUUGUCGUAGAAGGAGACAGUAAGUCAUCACUGUGGGUGAGACGGCAGCGUCACUGUGGCUGACCGAUCUCAAUCAGGGAUGAGACAAGC